AUCUUCUCACACUUUCUCCUGCCGCCAUGAUGCCAUCCACCAUGAGGCCUCCCACCAGAGGCCGAACAGAUGGAGCUGCCCAAUCUUAGACUUCCAGCCUCUAAAACUCAUGACAAAAGAUCCUUGUGAUGAUUGCGUCCAACCCCCUCAUUUUACAGAUUGGGAACCUGAGGCUCAAAGAGGAAAAGCAAUGAGUCGGGGUCAACAUAUCCAAGAGAUGUAAAUCUGAACACCCUGGAAGACAAAAACAUUGGAGACAAUUAGUCCAGGUCUAGGGACUUCACAGCGUCACAGAGAAGACACCCCAGGCCCUCAUUCCAGGUGAGCGGUGCUGUGGGUUGAACCGUGUCCCCUAAAGCUGUACUGAAGCCCUAAGUCCUUGUACCUGUAAAUGAGACCUUACUUGGAAUUAGGGACACCAAGUUUAAAAGAAAUCAUAGAAAUGAGGAUGGGCUGAGCUCCAACAUGGCCCGUGUCCUAAGAAGACAAGGACACAGAGACACAGAAGAAUGUAACGACAGUGGCAGAGGGAAUGAUGCAGCUACUAGCCAAGGAAUGUCAAAGAUUGCCAGCAACAUGAGAGGCAACACCAGAGGCCAGAACAGAUCCUCUCGAAGCCCGCAGAGGUGGGUGGCCCUGCCCGAACCUUGAUUUUAGACUCUUGGGCUCCAGAACUAUGAGACAAUCAAUUCCAGCUGUUUUAAGCCACCAAGUUUGUGGUCCUUUGUCACAGCAGCCCCAGAAAUGAAUAGGGGCAGCACAUUCCUGCUCCAUUCUAACCAUGAAAAUGAUGUUGAAAGACUUCGUGACCAUUUCCCAGCUUUACAUUGGUAACUGCCUUUAAUUCCCCUCUAUUAUACCAGCAUUCUUCCCAUUAUGCAGAUGAGGAAACUGGGACUUGGAGAAGUAGGCUCACCCCAGAUCUCAGCUUGGCAGUGCUGAAGGCUCCAGAGGCCAGGUCUACCGUGGAUCACUGCUGUUAACCCUAAGCUAUCGGAGGGCACACAGAUAUCCUGAUGUUGGAUUUGGGAGAAGGUGGCUCUGCUGAAGCUCCCAUGGGACCUGGGGACCAGAGACAUGCAGGACAUAUCCAGAGAGAGCUGGGACAUCUCUUCUGGACAAGGUUGCUGCCCGAGCCCUGUGGAAGCUGAGCAACAGCUCAGCAUGACGUCUCUGUGGAGGCCAAAACUGCCCAAGAGAAUGGCUACUCCA
This 1212-nucleotide long non-coding RNA is filed under the name Heterocephalus glaber (naked mole-rat). RNAcentral describes it as "lncRNA (ENSHGLG00000038965.1)". Lineage: Eukaryota; Metazoa; Chordata; Mammalia; Rodentia; Bathyergidae. The record is from RNAcentral.